ACCUGGUCCAUAAGGACACAGAAUGCAGAAGCAUUUGUACCAACUGUCUGCUUUCUCAUCAGCCUCAAACCAAACUAAAGGUAGUUGAUGAUGCAUCAGAAACUCACCAUAUUGGGUGAAGUUGAAGACCAAGAAGGCAGAAUCACUUUCCUUAAAUGGAUCCAUUAUCACGACUCAGGACAUGACCCAGAUGUAGGAGGCGGACAGUACAGUUCUCAUAAUAUUUAUUAUACAAGGGGGCAGGCAGAGGUCAGUAAUCCAGGGCAGAGUCAAUGAGGUAAAGAACGGCGGGCAGGCAGUAUGGUCAGAACCAGGAAGACUAGAAACCGGGAAAACACACUGGUAAGACUUGAGGGGACAAGACGAACUGGCAACAGAAAACACUGGUAUAAAUACACAGGGGAUAAUGGGGACAAAUGGGAGACACCUGGUGGGGGGUAGAGACAAGCACAAGAAAGGUGAAACAGAUCAGGGCGUGAUAUCCAUAAUGGAAAGAAAAUGGCAUUUUUAAUGUGUACGCUCCAAAUUCAUAUGAUCUUAAGUGUUUUGAUUCUCUGAAUAUUAUUGCUAGAAUUCCAUCUGGUUAUUGGGACAGACAUGAAGGCCAUUUUAGACAUACAAUCCACAGGAAACCAAGGCUUUCCAUCAUAUCCUCUGAUUAUAACCUCAUUGAUGCCUGGCGAGCACAUAAUCCAGAAGCAAACGAGUGCCUUUUUUUUCUCAAAUUAAGAAAAUAUAAAUUCGACAUAUGAGCUUGACCACCAUGAGUCUGACCACCAGGUUGUCCGAUCACCACGCUUACAACUGCCAACUUCAAAUCUUACAAUCUACUAAAAGAGCCACAAGCUGGCGUUUCAAUGUUUCAUUACUACAAAAUCCUAUAUUCUGUGAUCAAUUUGAAAUUUAACUUAAUUAAUUCAUAAUGAUCAAAUACAAAUUCAGUCGAUGACCCCCGGAUUCUGGAAUGCCACCAAAGUUUUUAUUAAAAAUAAUGCAACUGCAUUUGGUGUAAUCUCCCUGUGUGUAGCUGGUGUGGAAGAGUCAGGCGCAGGACAGCAGAAAUUAGUAAUGAGCUUACUUUACUCAAGAAUUCAAAUAUAAUCAACUCAAUAAACUUAGCCCACAAUAACGGAUCAAAUACAUACAAUCACUCACUCACAAAAAAACAUGAGGGAACAGAGGGUUAAAUAAUGAACAAGUAAUUGCUGGCAUUGAAAACAGGUGUGUAAAACAAAGACAAAACAAAUGGAAAAUGAAAAGUGGAUUGGCUAUGGCAAGAAGGCCGGUGACGUCGACCGCCGAACGCCAAAACAAGGAGAGGGACCGACUUUGGCGGAAGUCGUGACAUCUGGGCUGAAUAAAUCACAAUUAAACAAGAUAUCAGAAUUGGAAAUGUUGUUUAGCUGCGUUAGAGCGUUCACUUUUUCAGACCAGGUAGUAAUGAUCAAUUAGCUGAUAAAGCAACUAUUGUAUCUGAAACUGGGGACUUAAUAUCGGAACCCAAAUGAAUCAAUCAAAGAUUAUCCCACUUCUAUAAAGAACUGUUCACCUCUGAUUUUAAAUCCACACCAAGUUCUUUAAGAAUCAAGAACUCCUCUUCUCUCAACAGAGGAAGCCACCUCACAGGGAGCCCAAAUCUCUCUCAAUGAACUCAAAAGGGCAUUGGACAGCAUGAAUAAAGGGCAUUGGACAGCAUGAAUAAAGGGCAUUGGACAGCAUGAAUAAAGGGCAUUGGACAGCAUGAAUAAAAGGCAUUGGAUAACAUGAAUAAAGGGCAUUGGACAGCAUAAAUAAAGGGCACUGGAUAACAUAAAUAAAGGGCACUGGACAGCAUGAAUAAAGGGCACUGGAUAACAUAAAUAAAGGGCAUUGGACAGCAUGAAUAAAGGGCAUUGGAUAACAUAAAUAAAGGGCAUUGGACAGCAUGAAUAAAGGGCAUUGGAUAACAUAAAUAAAGGGCAUUGGAUAACAUAAAUAAAGGGCAUUGGUUACAUAAAUAAAGGGCCUUGGACAGCAUAAAUAAAGGGCAUUGGAUAACAUGAAUAAAGGGCACUGGAUAACAUAAAUAAAGGGCAUUGGACAGCAUGAAUAAAGGGCAUUGGAUAACAUGAAUAAAGGGCAUUGGACAGCAUGAAUAAAGGGCAUUGGUUACAUAAAUAAAGGGCAUUGGACAGCAUAAAUAAAGGGCAUUUGAUAACAUGAAUAAAGGGCACUGGAUAACAUAAAUAAAGGGCAUUGGAUAACAUAAAUAAAGGGCAUUGGAUAACAUGAAUAAAGGGCACUGGAUAACAUGAAUAAAGGGCAUUGGAUAACAUAAAUAAAGGGCAUUGGAUAACAUGAAUAAAGGGCAUUGGAUAACAUAAAUAAAGGGCACUGGAUAACAUAAAUAAAGGGCAUUGGAUAACAUAAAUAAAGGGCAUUGGAUAACAUAAAUAAAGGGCAUUGGAUAACAUGAAUAAAGGGCAUUGGAUAACAUAAAUAAAGGGCAUUGGAUAACAUGAAUAAAGGGCAUUGGAUAACAUGAAUAAAGGGCAUUGGAUAACAUGAAUAAAGGGAAAUCAACUGGAAGGGACAGUAUUCCUCCUGAAGUCAAUUUAUUUUUUUAUUAAUCAGUUAGGUCCACUAUUGCUCGAAAUGAUUAACAAAGCCAUUCACAAAGGUUGAUUUGGGAGAGAUACAGCACUCAUUUAGCUUGUACAAAAAAAGGUAAUUAGGGGAAGGGUGGCAGGGUUAUCGAAAAUUAUAAAGGAAAAUACAUAUAUUUUUAGAUAUGUACAUACAGUACCGGUCAAAAGUUUGGACACACCUACUCAUUCAAGGAUUUUAAUUU
Long non-coding RNA from Oncorhynchus tshawytscha (Chinook salmon), 2830 nucleotides. Lineage: Eukaryota; Metazoa; Chordata; Actinopteri; Salmoniformes; Salmonidae. The record is from Ensembl.